UGACCGAUAGAAGAUGAGCUCCUGUGGGGAACAAGAAAUGACCAACUGACGAGGAACGAUGAGAGAUUAUUGGAGAUUUAAGAGACGCAGAGACACCGAAAACAAUGAUCGCCUUUUUUAUGGUCCCCGUUCACACUUUU
Molecule: non-coding RNA, 140 nt
Organism: Caenorhabditis elegans
Lineage: Eukaryota; Metazoa; Nematoda; Chromadorea; Rhabditida; Rhabditidae
Source: Ensembl